Molecule: long non-coding RNA, 1095 nt
Organism: Hordeum vulgare subsp. vulgare (domesticated barley)
Lineage: Eukaryota; Viridiplantae; Streptophyta; Magnoliopsida; Poales; Poaceae
Exons: 2
Source: RefSeq, a predicted model, not a curated record
GGGCGGAUCCAAAUGGUGGCGAUGGCAGCCCCUCGAGGAGGAUGGAGGCAAGGGAGCUCCAAUGGAUCCGUUGAGGAGGUUCACGGGGACAGAGGGAGUAGGAGGCAGAAGGGGCUCGGGGUGCGGUCAAAUGGCGAGCACAUGCGUUGAAGCAACCUUGGAGCCUUGCUGGCGUCGCAGAGGGGCACAGGCGGUCAAAGGGAAUCUUCUAGCGUGCGGAGACACGCUACUGCUGCUAGACACGAGAUGCAAGAAGAAGACAAGGGGCAUAGCGCCAUUACUGCAUGUAGCCAAAGUGCUCACCAUGCUAAAGCUUGUCCAGGACCACGCUUUGGCCAGGAGAAGGUGUCUAGCAUGCAAGGCAUGCACGCCAGAGAGCACUGGUGCAAUUUGGACACAAGUGCAACACAUUAGGCUGGGUUUUAUCACUGGUUAAGUUUGCAUCAGAAAAUUUGGGCUACCAAAGAGGGGUUUUACUGGGGGGUCUUUGGAAUAAACCAUGUCUAGUAGCCCUAGCUAUGCAAGAACUACAAGACUACCAAGUUUCAGCUCAAGGAGAGGAGUGUAGCAAGCACUUGCAGUUCAAGGCCACAUUUCUGCCAAAAAUCAAGUUUCAGAAGGGCUGCUCAUAUUUUCCAUGUGAGCAUGCCAUAUCUUUGCUUAAAAUAAUGCAUUAUCAUACUAGAGGUUCUAUGGAAGGAUGUGGGGGCAUUGGCAUGACCAUAAUAAUUGGGAGAGGGUAAAAGAGGGGUUGUCAUGGUAAAAAGGAGAGGAAGAGAGAGGGAGUCACCCUCCAAUAAUUGACUAGGGGCCAUGGCAAAGUUCUUGGAGGUAAAAUAGGGUCAGAGAAUACUAUGGUAGAAAUUUGAGCUCAAGGAGAAUAGUAGAAGGGCUCCAAGCAAUAAAUCUCCUAAGUGCGGAGAAUGUGUUUGAUGGGUGUUACGGCUAGCAAAUGGAGUCCACUUGCUAUGAAACUUAACAAGAUCAUAUGAUAGGUGAAAAUGACAUAGGAUACCAAACAUGGGAUUUGUUGGCGAAAGUUUUCAAUGUAGACUUGAAAAUCUCAAGAAAUGGGAAAAGAUGGCUUUGUGCAUA